This 2795-nucleotide ribosomal RNA is filed under the name Escherichia coli. RNAcentral describes it as "partial 23S ribosomal RNA". It matches the Rfam family "Bacterial large subunit ribosomal RNA". The record is from RNAcentral. Lineage: Bacteria; Pseudomonadati; Pseudomonadota; Gammaproteobacteria; Enterobacterales; Enterobacteriaceae.
GGUUAAGCGACUAAGCGUACACGGUGGAUGCCCUGGCAGUCAGAGGCGAUGAAGGACGUGCUAAUCUGCGAUAAGCGUCGGUAAGGUGAUAUGAACCGUUAUAACCGGCGAUUUCCGAAUGGGGAAACCCAGUGUGAUUCGUCACACUAUCAUUAACUGAAUCCAUAGGUUAAUGAGGCGAACCGGGGGAACUGAAACAUCUAAGUACCCCGAGGAAAAGAAAUCAACCGAGAUUCCCCCAGUAGCGGCGAGCGAACGGGGAGGAGCCCAGAGCCUGAAUCAGUGUGUGUGUUAGUGGAAGCGUCUGGAAAGGCGCGCGAUACAGGGUGACAGCCCCGUACACAAAAAUGCACAUACUGUGAGCUCGAUGAGUAGGGCGGGACACGUGGUAUCCUGUCUGAAUAUGGGGGGACCAUCCUCCAAGGCUAAAUACUCCUGACUGACCGAUAGUGAACCAGUACCGUGAGGGAAAGGCGAAAAGAACCCCGGCGAGGGGAGUGAAAAAGAACCUGAAACCGUGUACGUACAAGCAGUGGGAGCACGCUUCGGCGUGUGACUGCGUACCUUUUGUAUAAUGGGUCAGCGACUUAUAUUCUGUAGCAAGGUUAACCGAAUAGGGGAGCCGAAGGGAAACCGAGUCUUAACUGGGCGUUAAGUUGCAGGGUAUAGACCCGAAACCCGGUGAUCUAGCCAUGGGCAGGUUGAAGGUUGGGUAACACUAACUGGAGGACCGAACCGACUAAUGUUGAAAAAUUAGCGGAUGACUUGUGGCUGGGGGUGAAAGGCCAAUCAAACCGGGAGAUAGCUGGUUCUCCCCGAAAGCUAUUUAGGUAGCGCCUCGUGAAUUCAUCUCCGGGGGUAGAGCACUGUUUCGGCAAGGGGGUCAUCCCGACUUACCAACCCGAUGCAAACUGCGAAUACCGGAGAAUGUUAUCACGGGAGACACACGGCGGGUGCUAACGUCCGUCGUGAAGAGGGAAACAACCCAGACCGCCAGCUAAGGUCCCAAAGUCAUGGUUAAGUGGGAAACGAUGUGGGAAGGCCCAGACAGCCAGGAUGUUGGCUUAGAAGCAGCCAUCAUUUAAAGAAAGCGUAAUAGCUCACUGGUCGAGUCGGCCUGCGCGGAAGAUGUAACGGGGCUAAACCAUGCACCGAAGCUGCGGCAGCGACACUAUGUGUUGUUGGGUAGGGGAGCGUUCUGUAAGCCUGUGAAGGUGUACUGUGAGGUAUGCUGGAGGUAUCAGAAGUGCGAAUGCUGACAUAAGUAACGAUAAAGCGGGUGAAAAGCCCGCUCGCCGGAAGACCAAGGGUUCCUGUCCAACGUUAAUCGGGGCAGGGUGAGUCGACCCCUAAGGCGAGGCCGAAAGGCGUAGUCGAUGGGAAACAGGUUAAUAUUCCUGUACUUGGUGUUACUGCGAAGGGGGGACGGAGAAGGCUAUGUUGGCCGGGCGACGGUUGUCCCGGUUUAAGCGUGUAGGCUGGUUUUCCAGGCAAAUCCGGAAAAUCAAGGCUGAGGCGUGAUGACGAGGCACUACGGUGCUGAAGCAACAAAUGCCCUGCUUCCAGGAAAAGCCUCUAAGCAUCAGGUAACAUCAAAUCGUACCCCAAACCGACACAGGUGGUCAGGUAGAGAAUACCAAGGCGCUUGAGAGAACUCGGGUGAAGGAACUAGGCAAAAUGGUGCCGUAACUUCGGGAGAAGGCACGCUGAUAUGUAGGUGAAGCGACUUGCUCGUGGAGCUGAAAUCAGUCGAAGAUACCAGCUGGCUGCAACUGUUUAUUAAAAACACAGCACUGUGCAAACACGAAAGUGGACGUAUACGGUGUGACGCCUGCCCGGUGCCGGAAGGUUAAUUGAUGGGGUUAGCGCAAGCGAAGCUCUUGAUCGAAGCCCCGGUAAACGGCGGCCGUAACUAUAACGGUCCUAAGGUAGCGAAAUUCCUUGUCGGGUAAGUUCCGACCUGCACGAAUGGCGUAAUGAUGGCCAGGCUGUCUCCACCCGAGACUCAGUGAAAUUGAACUCGCUGUGAAGAUGCAGUGUACCCGCGGCAAGACGGAAAGACCCCGUGAACCUUUACUAUAGCUUGACACUGAACAUUGAGCCUUGAUGUGUAGGAUAGGUGGGAGGCUUUGAAGUGUGGACGCCAGUCUGCAUGGAGCCGACCUUGAAAUACCACCCUUUAAUGUUUGAUGUUCUAACGUUGGCCCGUGAUCCGGGUUGCGGACAGUGUCUGGUGGGUAGUUUGACUGGGGCGGUCUCCUCCUAAAGAGUAACGGAGGAGCACGAAGGUUGGCUAAUCCUGGUCGGACAUCAGGAGGUUAGUGCAAUGGCAUAAGCCAGCUUGACUGCGAGCGUGACGGCGCGAGCAGGUGCGAAAGCAGGUCAUAGUGAUCCGGUGGUUCUGAAUGGAAGGGCCAUCGCUCAACGGAUAAAAGGUACUCCGGGGAUAACAGGCUGAUACCGCCCAAGAGUUCAUAUCGACGGCGGUGUUUGGCACCUCGAUGUCGGCUCAUCACAUCCUGGGGCUGAAGUAGGUCCCAAGGGUAUGGCUGUUCGCCAUUUAAAGUGGUACGCGAGCUGGGUUUAGAACGUCGUGAGACAGUUCGGUCCCUAUCUGCCGUGGGCGCUGGAGAACUGAGGGGGGCUGCUCCUAGUACGAGAGGACCGGAGUGGACGCAUCACUGGUGUUCGGGUUGUCAUGCCAAUGGCACUGCCCGGUAGCUAAAUGCGGAAGAGAUAAGUGCUGAAAGCAUCUAAGCACGAAACUUGCCCCGAGAUGAGUUCUCCCUGACUCC